Molecule: ribosomal RNA, 253 nt
Filed under: uncultured bacterium
Lineage: Bacteria
Description: partial 16S ribosomal RNA
Rfam family: Bacterial small subunit ribosomal RNA
Source: RNAcentral
UACGUAGGGUGCAAGCGUUAAUCGGAAUUACUGGGCGUAAAGCGCACGUAGGCGGCUACACAAGUCAGAGGUGAAAGCCCGGGGCUCAACCCCGGAACUGCCUUUGAAACUGGGUGGCUAGAAUCUUGGAGAGGCGAGUGGAAUUCCGAGUGUAGAGGUGAAAUUCGUAGAUAUUCGGAAGAACACCAGUGGCGAAGGCGACUCGCUGGACAAGUAUUGACGCUGAGGUGCGAAAGCGUGGGGAGCAAACAGG